GAUGAAGAACGUAGCGAAAUGCGAUAAGUAAUGUGAAUUGCAGAAUUCAGUGAAUCAUCGAAUCUUUGAACGCACAUUGCGCCCCUUGGUAUUCCGAGGGGCAUGCCUGUUCGAGCGUCAUUAUAACCCCUCAAGCUCAGCUUGGUGUUGGGGCCUGCUGCACUGGCAGCCCUUAAAAUCAGUGGCGGCGCCAUCUGGCUCUAAGCGUAGUAAUUCUUCUCGCUAUGGAGUCCUGGUGGAUGCUUGCCAUCAACCCCCAAUUUUUCUAUGGUUGACCUCGGAUCAGGUAGGGAUACCCGCUGAACUUAAGCAUAUCAAUAAGCGAGGA
This 328-nucleotide unclassified non-coding RNA is filed under the name soil metagenome. Its description in RNAcentral is "partial contains 5.8S ribosomal RNA, internal transcribed spacer 2, and large subunit ribosomal RNA". The stretch from base 1 to 120 matches the Rfam family "5.8S ribosomal RNA", at positions 35 to 154 of the family's 154-position model. The record is from RNAcentral.